AAGUUGUAAAUUGGAUGGAAAAAUAGUCAGACAAGUCCCUUGCCUUCCUAAAGAAAAGCUAGUUUAUUCUAACCUUUACUUAGUUGUGGUUAAUAACUCUAGAAAGUUUCAACCUUCUCAGAGUCAGUAGGUCAGUUUAUGUAUUCUUCAAGUAAAUCCAAAUGCUUCCUUCAUUUGAAAGUUAAACCAGUAGUCUCCUAACUUAUGCAGUGAGUUUAAAAAAAAAAAAAAAAGGGAAGUAGUAACUAAAGCAUUUAGCUUUCUGAAACAAUUCAGAUGGGGAUAGGAAGUUGGUUUUAAAUGGCUUAAAGAGGAUUACGGUUUUAAAGUUGGAUAAGGAGUUUGGUGCUUUGGGUUAGGCAUGGCAUUGCUUUUAAAAGAUUACUUCCAUAUUUGACAAUGAUUCUAACUGGAGUUUAUAAAGCAAACAGUCAAUUUUAAGACACUAUGGAAGACAAGAGAGUUUCUUUUUUUGUUGUUGUUUGUUUAUACAAAAUGAUUGCCUAAAGUUAACAGGCCAAAUCCUGAAGUCCUCCUUUCAUAAUAAUACUGGGGAUCUGUCACCAGGGAGAAUCCAGCAGAGGUUCUUUAAUGCACUUAAUUGAGAUUAUCUGAGCCUUUGGUUUAAAUUACUUUAGAAAAGUCUGCAUGCAAACAACUCCUUUGAAAGGUAAACAUAUCUUUAAGGAAAAGGGUUCUUUAAAUUUCUUUGUAUAGUUAGUAGCAUCAACCCCUAUUAAUUAAAUAUGAGUACUGACUGAACAAUGAAUAAACAUAAAUUCUCUAAACAUUAGCAUGUGUUAAUAUAAUUCACAGAACAAUGAAAGUUUUUAUUUAUGAUCAUUUGAAAAUUCAGUAUUUAUUAGAAAAGCAACUACUGACAGUUUUAGUAAUUCCAAAGUAAAAAAGAUAAUGUCCUGGGGCUGGGGUUGUGGCUCAAUGGUGGAGUGCUCGCUUAGCAUGCAUGAGGCACUGGGUUCGAUCCUCAGAACCACAUAAAUGUAAAAUAAAGAUAUUGUGUCCACCUAAAACUAAAAAAAUAAAUAUUAAGGGCUGGAGUUGUGGCUCAGUGAUAUAGUGCUCGCCUAGUAAGGGCAAGGCCCUGGGUUCAAUCCCCAGCACCACAUAAAAUUAAAUAAAUAAAUAUAUUGUGUCCAACUACAACUAAAAAAUAUUUUUAAAAUAAAUAAAUAAAUAAACAUUAAACAAGAUAAAAUACAGUUAAUGAAGUUUUAGAUAUGAAUUUCUUUAUUCCAUUCCAUCUAAGAAGCAAAUCAUGUUAAAAUGGACCAAGAAUAGCAUAUACUUAAUUUGUGUAUGGGUCAAUAAUUAAAAGUCAAUAUAACAUUUCUCCCAUUUUUCUUAGCUCCUUGACCUGUUUAUGGUUUGGGAUUGGUCUACUUACCUAGCUGAUUAUGGACAGCCGGCUUCAAAGUACCUUCGGGUGAAUCCAAACACAGCCCUUACUCUUUUGGAGAAGUGAGUAUAUUCUGAAAACAUUUUGUAUAGCCUUUAACAGAUUUUGAGUCAAUGACAAAAUGAAGAACUAGAAAUUUUUACGAAAAGAGAUAUAUCUAGAUGGAGCUUUUAAAAGCUCACACUAUUUUAAUGACUAAAAAAUAAGCUUUUUUCUUACCCUUCAGAAUUGUAAUUACAUAUGCAAUUGCUUUUUGUAUGAAUGUGAACAAAACACUUUUUCUUUUGUGUCCUGAAUUGCAGGCUUAAUAGGCCUUAGAAAUGUUUAUUGGGGACUGGGUUUGUGUGGCUAAUGGUAGAGCCUUUACUAGCAUGCUCCAGGCCCUGGUUUCAGGCCCAGCACCACCACCACCAAAAAAAAAAAAAACAAAAAACAAAAAAAACCUGCAGAUAUAAAUAACAACUGAAUUUAUUAAAACCCAAUUAGGUGCAGCGGUGUCACCUAUAGUACUAGCUGUUUGGCUGAGGCAGGAGAAUUGCAUAAGCCUAUGAGUUCGAGACCAUCCUAGGCAAUAUAGCAAGGCUAUGUUAAAAAAAAAAAAGAGAGAACAAUAACAACAAAAAACUGUAUGGUUCAGGAAAGAAUGUACUUGUAAAACAUGCCCAGGAAUUGGAAUGUUCGCCACUAGGCUAUCUACAUCAUGGUUUCUUUGAAGAUAGAGAAAUAUGUAAUUUGAAAAAAAUAAUAUUGCUGGGUAUGGUGGCAUAUGCUUGUAAUCCCAGCCACUAGGAAGGCUGAGGCAGAAGGAUCUUAAGUUCAGUGUCAGCCUGGGAAAUUUAGCAAGAUACUUACUCAAAAAAUAAAAAGUUAGGGAUAACUUGGUGAUAGAGUGCCCCUGGAUUCAAUCCCUAUUACUGCCCCUUGCCAUACACACAAAAAGUGAGAGAGAAAAAAAAUAAUACUGUCAGAACUGAGGUAACAAUUUACUGGCACAUCUUUGUCCAGCUAAACACAAAUUAAGGUGUUUUUUUCUUCUCAUUAUGUGGCAGUCUGUCUUGACUUAAUCAUAUUUCACUUUACACAUCACUACUAAAAUCUUCAAUUUUUAAUUAAAAGUAUAUAUUAUUUCCCCACAUUUCACAAUAUGUGUGAUAUAUUUGACUUAAGGAACUUUUAAAAUAAAUGUAGAGGGGCUGGAGCUGGAGCUCAGUGGUAGAACGCUUGCCUAAAGGCAUGUGUGAGGCACUAGGUUCAAUCCUUAGCACUGCACAAAAAUAAACAAAUAAAAUGAAGUCAUGGUGUCCAUCUACAACUACAAAAAAAAAUUUAAAUAAAAUAAAUAUAGAUUUAUAAUGUCAUGAAACACCACUGAGGCAAAAACAUUGCUGUUUUAAAUUUUCUAAUGCAUUUUUUCCUUUUACCUUGUCUUGCUGUGAAUGUAGUUUGCAGAAUCCACAUAGAGUAUUUUAGCAUACUUUAUGGAAUAAUAUUAGAAAAUGGUAUGAUAUUUAAACUUAGCAUAUUUUAGAUUUACAUUCUAAUGCAAAAAUACCACUUCAUAUAAAAUGUAAAAUAAAACCAUUUAUGUGUGUGUGUGUGUGUUUUCUCUAUCUGUAACUACAUUAGUACCUUUUUUCUUUGAAGAAUAUUUUGUAAGCAUAGAAUUAGUGUGAGGUAAUUUGGAGCUUGCCAAUAUAUUUUACUUGUGAUAGCAUAGCUUUUAAUUUCCUCCUAAUAACCUUAUUCAUUCACAUUUGUUUCUAGGAUGAAGGAUACUAGCAAAAAGAACAAUAUAUUUGCCCAAUUCAGGAAGAAUGAUCGUGACAAACAGAAGUUGAUAGAGACAGUCGUGAAACAGCUAAGAAAUUUGGUGAAUGGUAUGUCCCAGCACACAUAGAUUUCACAUUGUUUAUACUCAGUGACACUAAUCUGUGACUGAGCAUUGAUCUCUAACAAGCACAGGUCGUGAUGUAAUAAUUUGUUUACAAAAUUCAAAAAUACAAUAGAGAAAAUACACUGAUGAGGGCUUAAAUAAGAAAUAGUAAUAACAUUUGUAUGGAUUUUUAAAAAUUGAAUACUAUUUUAUAUAUGAAAAAUGUGAAACUAAUUUUUUCAAUUUUAAGGGGAAAAGGUAAAACUAUAAUAUAUAAAUUGUCAAAAAUUGUAUAUAAAACUGAUUGCAAAUACAUUAGAAAAGCAUAUGCCUCUACUUAAAAGUAUUUUUUCUCCCCUUAUUUAAACUUGCGACCUGUUUUUUUCUUCAGUUUAUGGUUUUGGAAUGCAAUCAUGUCUAAUGUGGGAAUAUUUCACUGUCAUUUUAUGACAGUCUUAUUUUCAUCUUGAUGUGCUUUAAGUAGACUAAGCUUUUAAUUCUGCUGAUUCUGAGGGGAAAAUACACAUAUCUUUAAAGCGUCCUGAAAUCAAACUUAAUAAAGAGUGUAAAUUAUGUUCUACUUGGGUGCUUUAAUUGAAUCCUUUUGAAUAUGAAGAAAAGAUUUUGGAUUUUCUAAAGAUUUAGUGUUGUUUUUGUUCAUCAGAGUUAAUAUUUCUAUUUGCUUGUAGUUGAUAUCAUUCUAGAUUUGGUUUGGUUUGGUUUAAAUUAAAAGAUAGAACAGUUAACUGGGGCUAACCACUUCAGGUGCAGCUUGAACUAGGGUAGAUAUGUUCUUCCUACACAUAGAAAUGACCACAGGGGUCAGAUUACUUUCUUUAAAUAGCAGAUCUCAGUACUGUAUCCUCACUGUGGAAGCAGACCAAAUCAACUAAACUCUAAAAAACAUAAAACAACUGUACAUUUUCCUUUGUAUAAAGUCACUGAUAUCCAAAUAGUAAUGUAAAUCCAAUCCUUAUUUUUCUCUUGGUUGUAUUUAUGCUGAAUACUCUCUUUGCAUUUUUGGUAUUUAUACCUGUUAGAAACUAUCCCUGACUGUAAAAUAAGUGUCAAGAACUAUAUUUACAUCUUGAUUUUGUGGUGAAGUAUUAAAAAGGUUGAACAAAUCAUUGAAAAUGCAUUGUGAUUUUGUCUA
This 4443-nucleotide long non-coding RNA is filed under the name Marmota monax (woodchuck). Lineage: Eukaryota; Metazoa; Chordata; Mammalia; Rodentia; Sciuridae. The record is from RNAcentral.